This 500-nucleotide ribosomal RNA is filed under the name uncultured bacterium. RNAcentral's name for it is "partial 16S ribosomal RNA". It matches the Rfam family "Bacterial small subunit ribosomal RNA", at positions 30 to 523 of the family's 1533-position model. The record is from RNAcentral.
AUUGAACGCUGGCGGCAUGCCUUACACAUGCAAGUCGAACGGCAGCACGGGUGCUUGCACCUGGUGGCGAGUGGCGAACGGGUGAGUAAUACAUCGGAACGUACCUUAUCGUGGGGGAUAACGCAGCGAAAGUUGCGCUAAUACCGCAUACGCCCUGAGGGGGAAAGCGGGGGACCGUAAGGCCUCGCGCGAUUAGAGCGGCCGAUGUCUGAUUGGCUUGUUGGUGAGGUAAAAGCUCACCAAGGCGAUGAUCAGUAGCUGGUCUGAGAGGACGAUCAGCCACACUGGGACUGAGACACGGCCCAGACUCCUACGGGAGGCAGCAGUGGGAAUUUUGGACAAUGGGGGCAACCCUGAUCCAGCAAUGCCGCGUGAGUGAAGAAGGCCUUCGGGUUGUAAAGCUCUUUUGUCAGGGAAGAAACAGCAGCUCUAACACAGUCUGCGAAUGACGGUACCUGAAGAAUAAGCACCGGCUAACUACGUGCCAGCCGCCGCAGUAA